CGUCUAGCCUUCCACCUCUCUCGAUUAAUGUCCACGAUAGGCCACGAAAUCGCCAUCUCUUCCUCUCCGCCGGGAUUCUCGCAAACGGAUUGAGGCAUACGACAAGUUCUCACAUGAUUUCUGCAUAUAAAUUGGGUCGAGCGCCUCAGCCUAUUUCCGCAUGAAGUCCCUUCCUCGAUUAGGAUUUUCCAUGGAGCACUCCUCCGGUUCUCCAAUUGACAACUUCUUGAUAAAGGUCAUGGCUUGCAGCGUUGAUUAUUCCUUUAGCGAUGAUCUAUAGCCAAUCUCUCUCUCCCAGGUUCACAAUGUGGCUGGAGCACCUAAUGCUGCUUAUGGUACUCGAGUAUUGUUUCCUCUGAAGGCAUCUACGCUUCCAAGUAUUUCAAAUUAUGUGAUAGAGGAGAUUACUGGUGAAAUAUACAAGACAUUAAUACAACAUGGGGACCAAGAUUGGUAAGAAAGACAAGCUCAAGAAAGUGACCUUAUACAUUCCAUGAAGGCAUGAUAGGCUCCAGAUGUUCUACUGAAACAUGACACCUCUUCUAUUAUCUUAGAGAAGACGAACCUAGGAGAAUCAGGCGUCCAGAUGAUUCAGGUAGUAAAUUACGGGCCGACACUGGCAGAGGUGAGCUAGUGCACCCAAUAAGAUGAACCAGACCAAGGUGAGCUACUGCACCCAAUCAGGUGACCUUUGUUGGAUUUUCGAGGCAUGAAUGCAGCCGGUCUAGCUGAGGUCAUCCAGGGAGGACAAUACUGGCUAGCAAGGAUAUUGGCUCUUGUUGUGAGUGUUGUAAUUGAUCUCAGGUAACAAACUGAGAGAAGUAUAAGGGGAAGUGGUCCACCAUGUUCCCCUGACCUUGGAGCCUAGCUCUCCCACGUACGUGCCCUGAUCGGGAGACACCGAGACCAACAGUUGGACUCGAUCCCGUCUACCCAACACUUGAUAUAUAAAGGAAAUGAUCCCUCAUACCAGAUCUACCGAUCUACAGGGUAAGAGUUGUCAUUAACCAAAACUACCGAUCCUAAAGAAGUGCUGAGGGUGGCGAAGACCAGUCUCCACCGCCGGCCACCAGGAGGGUAGUGCCGGUGGCUCUCCUGCACCUCUACACCACCAGCAGUCAUCUAUCUCAACCACGAUGAUCUACACAUCGUCUGGAUCGAGCAGGCAAAGGAAUUCGUCAUCGACUUGUAAGUGCAUCUCCUGAUCUCUCCAUCAAGGUACUCUAAUCCAUGAUCAGUUAAUGUUGUUGUUGUCCUAAUGACAAGCAAAUAAUGCUAACAUUGGUAUGAGAGCAAUCUGAUCAUCUUUAAAGUCCUAAUUUUGAUUAGGAGACAAUGUUUAAGCCUCGGCCCUUAAUAUGUAGACUAUGCUUAUGUCUUAUGGAUCAUGUUUAAAGAAAAUUAUGUUGAUGCUCUAAGCCCCAGAUUAACCCACCUAUCAUGUCAAUUAUCUGUGAUAAUUAUUCAUGUUUGGGGAGCACGAAAUCUUGAAAGAAAAUCCCCAAAUUGCUGAUGAAUCUUCUAUAUUAUGAUAUGAAGGGUCUUGGUAAUGCCUCAUACCUUGAUUGUAUUAAGUUUCGCCAAGAUAUAAGUCCAAUCCAAAAGGAUUAUAUGUUCUAUUAUGAUGACAUAUGUUGAUGGAGUACGAGAGAAAAAUAUUAUGCACUUUUACUCUAUCUCACCUGCUACUAAAGCUAAGGGAGAUAAAGAUGUACAUUUCAAUGUCAUAGGAACCAUUUUAAACUGGUCAGAUAAUGUUGGUUCCUUGGGCUUCAGUUGUCAAAAGCAAUAUGUGUAUUCAAGUAUGAACACGCCCUAUUUACAAUUGGGAUAAUUGGAAAGUGUACAAUAAGUUUAGCAAUGGACUGUUGGAAGAGCCGCGAAAAGGUCUUGCGGUACAUGCAAGACAAUAAACUUUACAUGCUUAUUAAUAAGAUGUCUGCUAACCUCAAUAUCGUGGGUUAUUUAGACAUUGUUUUUGCGAGGUGUGUGGACAUUAAGGUUUCCACGUCAUGUUAAAUCCUCACCUUCCCAUGUGGAGCUAUAUCAUGGAAAAGCUCCAAAAUUAAUAUUGAUGACAUCAGUAAUGAUGCAAAACUAUUAAGUGGCAUGUUAAGAGGCUAUUGGGCAUGUUGUAUGUCAGAGAAGUUUUAUUCCUGGAAUUGAGGUGGUAGACAAUAUUUCUAAACCACUUACUGCAUUAUGAACACACAGUUUUCUAUGCGAGUAACAACAAGUCAAAUGGUGUUGCCAAAACCAUAUUGACAACAUGUUUCAUGUUGUGACAAAUAGAAUCCAGGAUCAAGCUACUUUUGUUAAGCAUAUAAAUAUGUUUUUUUUGGAUCCGUUUGCCUAAGGCUUGUCACCCAUUUUAUCAUUAUGUUGCCGGCAUGGGUUGAUAGAAAGCCUUUGGAUUCUGGAAACAAGGACCGUCAAAUAAACCAACUCCCACGAAGUAUUAUGUUUUCUACUUCGAGAUAGGAUGGUGUACUAUAAGUCUGAGGUUCAGUGUCAUGUCAUUGAUCAUUGUAACACAUUACCUUAG
Long non-coding RNA from Lolium perenne, 2545 nucleotides. RefSeq lists it as uncharacterized. The record is from RefSeq and is a predicted model, not a curated record. Lineage: Eukaryota; Viridiplantae; Streptophyta; Magnoliopsida; Poales; Poaceae.